GGUCAGACCAUAGACAGAUACAGAAGACAGCUCGCUAGCGGAUCUAGUCUGCUAUGUAUAUCUAUGGUCGGCACGUCUGGUAACGUCUCUGGCUGCUGUUGACCUUAUUUUUGGAGUAAAACACGGUGGAAGCUGAAUUAGUGAGGAUGACUCCUGCUCCUGUCAUCUCUAAGCUCCUCACACAUCUUUACCUGCACAUGAGGAAAAUCACUCCUGUAGAAUGCAGAUGUUCAGAGGGAGAUGAUGCCACAUCUGGUCCAGCUGAUGGAAGGUCUUGAAGUUCUCUGACUGGCCUGGACUGAAGAUGGUCCUCUCACUGGAUUUAAGGUUCAGAUGCUCAGUAACAAACUCCACCAAUGUGCCAACAGGGAAGCUUUAGGUUUAUUAAAUGUUGCUAUGAAGGUUUCGCUGUUUUUCUUUGUGAAUGCAAUGUGCUCCAACUGAAACUUGAAUUAGAACUUAGAAGUAAAUCCUUCCAUCUGAAAGGAUUUAGUUGCAUUAAUAACCUCAUAACAUUCCAAUUUUUCUUCCAGUCUUGGUUGGAAAUAGAAUCUCUGUAUUGAUUCAGGUAAAAACUGAACUUCAUAGCAUGUUGAAGCAAAACAACCAGAGGAAAACUGUGAUGGUGUUGGAUUGUCAGACCAUAAUGUUGCAGCUCAAAGCAGCUUUUCUAGCUCAGUUCAUUCUGACAUUCAGCUAUGAAUCAACACAGCAGAUGGUGAUCCAUGCUGUGGAAAUCUCACAUCUCCUGAUUUAAUGGAGCUGCUUUGCACUUUUUACACGGUUUACUCACCAACACUUUAUUUAAUAAAAGUCCCAUCUAGUUUUUAUGAGGAAUGUGAGGUUUUAAUUUCUCUGUGAAUAACUGCAGUCUAAUGCAACAGCUGGAGUUGUAACAUCUGUCCUGAUAUUGAUCAUGAAGUAUUGAUCAGAAUACUUAUGGUCAGCAGUCAUCCCUGAAGUUUUACAUUAAAAGCUUUACUUGUGUUGUGAACUUUGGUAAGAAGCAGAAACUUCAGCGUUGCCAUGGAUACAUGAGUGUUAAAUUCUGUCCAUGUUUCCAUUUUGGGAAAUUCAGUCCAGCAGAUGAGUUUGUUUUUACUUCCAGCUACCAUUCAGUCUGAGAUAUUAAGAAUAAAUAAAUGGGCAUAAUGUGGAAAUGAACAGAUUUUAUUUUUAUUUAUUCCUACAGGUGAUGCAGUUAAAGUUCCAGAAUGUGGAGGAAUUUAGUCUCACGAUGACAGACAAUAAAUAUUAUCUGAAAGUCGGGUUAUUGUUUAUCAGUACAAUACAAAAAGAUUCAUGUUAGAAAUAUUCCAGUUAAGACUCUAGAAUAUCAUGAUUUAUGUAACUUUACCUCAGUAAUAUCAAUGUUCAGGUUAAGAUUGUGCAGUGAUAUUUAUUAUGUAAGUUUAGCUGAUUAAAGUUUAUGACUCUGCACUACAAUGUUAUUUAUUUAAAUUUACAUCAUUAUUAUAUUUAGGGUCAGACCCUACAGUAUUGAGAUUAAGAGAUCAAAUAUUCUAUAAAAUGUAAAUACACUGAACUCAUUUGGAUAUAUUUAAGUGAGACUCUACAAUAUUAUUUGACACAAAUCUGUAAAUCAAAAUUUUAAUCAUUUUUACGCCAAACAUUUACUGGACUGAUUUAAAUAUUAAAAUCACUCUUUUCUAAUCCUCUGCUGUACGUUCAAACCUGAGGCCUUAAAUAGAAACACACAAGUAUCUGUUUGAAGGAACUUCUGCAGAGUCCUGGUUCCAGAACAUGAUGAUAGAAUUAUAGACAAACUUUAACAAAAGCUGCCUGAGAGUUUACAGGUUUUUAUGUUAGAUUUCCUCAGUAAUUUAAUGACAGUUAUCAGCAAAAAUCAAGUGUUCAUUUGAUGAACUUCAUUUCCUAAAACAUCCAGAAUUGGAGCUCAUAUCUUUGACAGCUGUAAAGUUUCUGCUCCUUCAAAGUUCACAACACAAUGAAUUAAUUCCUAAAACACUCUCAAUGCUGGAGAGUGUUUGAUGCUGAAGCAGUGACCAGUUUUUCUGUUUCUUCUCUGGAGAUGCACAAUGAGGGACGUCUGCAGAGACUGAGAAAGAGUCUCACCACAUCCUGACAUGAGGAAAAAGACUUUAUUGAAGACUACAAUGAGAAAAACUAUCAGACAGCAGACGGCUGCAUUCAAGGUGAGCUCUGAACAUUUGAUCUGGAACAGGAAUUCAAUCACGGCAGCAUGAGCUUCAUUUCAGUCUGUAGCUGCUGAAUUCAUGGAUGAAUCAUCUGGCACUAGAGAAGACCAUCAAACAUCCACGUCAGCUGAUGGAGGUCCAAGAGUCUCACCCAACAAACAACCUACAGAGUGAAGACCUCAAAUCUGAUUGGACGGCCUCCUAUUCAGCCACAUUUUAGGCUGUUAGAUUGUUCCAGAUAAGACAAGUACAAGAUUCUUCAGAGCCGUUCUACCACGAGCCUGACAGGAAGAACUCCAACAGCUACUGAAUGUUCCUGUGGUUCCCUCAAGGCUACAGGAGGAGCCCUACGAGGACGAGCCGGUCCACCUGAUGGUGGCCAGUCGCUGCUGUUCAAAGCCAACACCGACUACGUGGACUUCUACUGGACCACACGGAGGCCUUCAAACCGGACCAACAAGUUCAGCGACUCCCCGACUCGUGGGUCUGAGGACGUCGCCGAGCCUCGGCCCAGCCGGCCUCCUGUCUGUGGAUGUUUGAGUGCUGAGAGGUUUAUGGAUCCAUGUGAAUGUUCUGUGUUGAAACAGCAGCUUUGGACUCAGUAACGCCGGGAAAAACCAAGAGCUCCUUUAUUUGUGACUUCCACUAAAAAAACUGAUGAAAAUAAGUUUGCCAGGGUUCUGACUGAUAACAGAUUAUUAAAUAAUGAAAAUAAUUGUUUAAAGAUUCCUUUAAACGAUCCUUUUAGGUCUACAUUUCCUUUACACUGACUUCUUGGUAUAUGUACAAGUAUUUUGGGUGGAAUAUACCAUUAAGCCCAAUGUUCAAGGGUUCUUCUGGGAAUAUACCAUUAAAUGAAACCUUUUAGGUAAAUGUUCCAGGAUGUUGGGUAGAAUAUACCAUCAGAUCAACCUUUUAGGUCUACAUUGGAAGAUUUUAGAGUAGAAUAUUACUCCAAACCAUCCUUUAGGUCUACAUUUAAGGUGGAAUACUCCUUUACACCAAGAUUUUUUUGGUCUACAUUGAAGGAUUUCAGGUGGAAUAUUCCUUUGAACUUUUUAAAUUUAUGUUCAAAGAUGUUGGAUGGAAUAUACCAUCAGACCAACCUCCAAGGUCUACAGUAGUGAAUUUUAGGUGGAAUAUACCAUUAAACUCACCUUUUAGGUCGACAUUGGAGGAUUUUAGGAUGGUAUAUUCUUCCAAACCAACUUCUCAGGUCUACAUUUCAGGUGGAAUAUUCCUCCAUACUAACUUUUUUGGUCUACAUUGAAGGAUUUUUUCUAAACCACC
Long non-coding RNA from Amphiprion ocellaris (clown anemonefish), 3470 nucleotides. RefSeq lists it as uncharacterized. Lineage: Eukaryota; Metazoa; Chordata; Actinopteri; Pomacentridae. The transcript is spliced from 4 exons. The record is from RefSeq and is a predicted model, not a curated record.